CCUACGGGAGGCAGCAGUGGGGAAUAUUGCACAAUGGGGGAAACCCUGAUGCAGCGACGCCGCGUGAGCGAAGAAGUAUCUCGGUAUGUAAAGCUCUAUCAGCAGGGAAGAAAAUGACGGUACCUGACUAAGAAGCCCCGGCUAACUACGUGCCAGCAGCCGCGGUAAUCCGUAGGGGGCAAGCGUUAUCCGGAUUUACUGGGGGUAAAGGGAGCGCAGGCGGGGCGGUAAGUCUGAUGUGAAAGCCCGGGGCUCAACCCCGGGACUGCAUUGGAAACUGGCGUGCUGGAGUGGCGGAGGGGCAAGUGGAAUGCCUGGUGUAGCGGUGAAAUGCGUAGAUAUUAGGAGGAACACCAGUGGCGAAGGCAGCAUGCUGGACGACGACUGACGCUGAGGCUCGAAAGCGUGGGGAGCGAACAGGAUUAGAUACCCCAGUAGUC
RNAcentral lists this ribosomal RNA (440 nucleotides) under uncultured bacterium. RNAcentral describes it as "partial 16S ribosomal RNA". It matches the Rfam family "Bacterial small subunit ribosomal RNA", at positions 338 to 795 of the family's 1533-position model. The record is from RNAcentral.